UUUGGGGUGGCAGAGCCAGGUAAAUGCGCAAGGCCUAAGCCCUUGUCCCCAAAAGUUCAAAUCUUUUCCCCAAUC
Molecule: transfer RNA, 75 nt
Filed under: Crossobamon orientalis
Lineage: Eukaryota; Metazoa; Chordata; Lepidosauria; Squamata; Gekkonidae
Description: tRNA-Leu
Rfam family: tRNA
About the family: Transfer RNA (tRNA) molecules are approximately 80 nucleotides in length. Their secondary structure includes four short double-helical elements and three loops (D, anti-codon, and T loops).
Source: RNAcentral